Molecule: long non-coding RNA, 227 nt
Filed under: Lathyrus oleraceus (garden pea)
Lineage: Eukaryota; Viridiplantae; Streptophyta; Magnoliopsida; Fabales; Fabaceae
Description: Pisum sativum (pea) long non-coding RNA (PSAT_LNC034081)
Source: RNAcentral
UGAUGGAGUCAGAAAGUUAAGGAUUUAUAUUGCAUAAAUUGUCAGAGCUUUGAGAAAGAUGUGAAUUUUCUAGUGAAAUAAGAUUGACACACUGACAUGGAAUAAGUAUUGUAGGUAACUCCAUAUAGUUAAGGAGAAAGUAUGGUUAUGUUGCACAUAUGUCAUAAGGUUUGGAAGUGGGGUAAUGUAUCAGUGUUUCAAUUUCUAAGGUCACUAGAGUAUCUUGG